Molecule: small nuclear RNA, 164 nt
Organism: Peromyscus maniculatus bairdii (prairie deer mouse)
Lineage: Eukaryota; Metazoa; Chordata; Mammalia; Rodentia; Cricetidae
Gene: U1
Rfam family: U1 spliceosomal RNA
About the family: U1 is a small nuclear RNA (snRNA) component of the spliceosome (involved in pre-mRNA splicing). Its 5' end forms complementary base pairs with the 5' splice junction, thus defining the 5' donor site of an intron.
Source: Ensembl
AUACUUACUCAGCAUGGGAGAUACCAUGAUCAUGAAGGUGGUUUUCCCAGGGCAAGGCUUAUCCAUUGCACUCCAGAUGUGCUGACCCAUGUGAUUUACUCAAAUGCAAGAAACUCAACUGAAUAAUUUGUGGUAAUGGGGGUCUGAAUUCACUCUGUCCCCUG